Molecule: microRNA precursor, 73 nt
Filed under: Melampsora larici-populina 98AG31
Lineage: Eukaryota; Fungi; Basidiomycota; Pucciniomycetes; Pucciniales; Melampsoraceae
Description: microRNA MIR807
Source: RNAcentral
UCCCGUACGUCAAUGUAAUCCACCCUCAUGUGAAUGAAAUUCACAUAAGGGUGGAUUACAUUGACGUAUGGGU